GACGAACGCUGGCGGCGUGCUUAACACAUGCAAGUCGAACGGAAAGGCCCGGCUUUUGUGGGGUGCUCGAGUGGCGAAGGGGUGAGUAACACGCGAGUAACCUGCCCUUGACUGUGGGAUAACUUCAGGAAACUGGGGCGAAUACCGGAUAUGAGCUCCUGCUGCAUGGGGGGGGUUGGAAAGUUUCGGCGGUUGGGGAUGGACUCGCGGCUUAUGAGCUUGUUGGGCAGGUAGUGGCUUACCAAGGCUUUGACGGGUAGCCGGCGUGGGAGCGUGACCGGGCACCAUGGGCCUGCGAGACGCCGCAGUCGCCUAUGGGCCGCAGCGGUCGGGAGUAUUGCGGAAUGGCGCGACGCCUGUUGCGGAGGUCUCCCGUGCGUGAUACCGGGUUUCGAGUUGUGAACAGAUGUCGAAUGUACCGAAGAGUGAGUGACGGUACUGGGUCAGGAAGCCCCGGCUAACUACGUG
Molecule: ribosomal RNA, 468 nt
Filed under: uncultured bacterium
Lineage: Bacteria
Description: partial 16S ribosomal RNA
Rfam family: Bacterial small subunit ribosomal RNA
Source: RNAcentral